AGCGUUGCUCGGAAUCACUGGGCGUAAAGCGCACGUAGGCGGCUUUCUAAGUCAGGGGUGAAAUCCUGGAGCUCAACUCCAGAACUGCCUUUGAUACUGGCGAUCUUGAGUCCGGGAGAGGUGAGUGGAACUGCGAGUGUAG
RNAcentral lists this ribosomal RNA (142 nucleotides) under uncultured Alphaproteobacteria bacterium. Its description in RNAcentral is "partial 16S ribosomal RNA". It matches the Rfam family "Bacterial small subunit ribosomal RNA", at positions 537 to 678 of the family's 1533-position model. The record is from RNAcentral. Lineage: Bacteria; Pseudomonadati; Pseudomonadota; Alphaproteobacteria.